UGAUUCUAUGAUUCUAUGAUUCUAUGAUUCUAUGAUUCUAUGAUUCUAUGAUCUUAUGAACAGACCAGAUGUGAAAAUGCAGUAGAUUCAAGGCAUAACCAGUUAUCUUCAGGCUCCCGAUGAAAAAGACUGGCUCUAGUCACUUCAGAUCUUAUCAGUGUAGUUGAGCUUUGAACUACCUCAGUGUCUUGAGUUGCCAACUCAGUGUCUUGAAUGAGCAACUGAAUUGAACCCCAGUGCUGGGCGAGAAGGAUCUCAACCCUCUCCUAAGCUGGGUGAACUGAAACAGACAGUGAACAAAUAUGCCCAUGAAAAUGUUCAGAUGCUGUCCAUACAGCUGCCCAAAUGACACUUGGACUCCCACAAUGCUCUCAUGGUACCCUCACCUAUGCCAUGCCUCACUUUGUGAUUUCCAGAGGUGUUCUUUUCCCAUCAGUAAGGGAAACAAUGGCUCAUAAAGGCAUAAUGGCUGGUUUGUGGCCCUGCCAGAGGUGAUUAUUUCUCUCAGUGCAUUUUCACCUAGUCUGAAAGUCAUGUUCAGAGGCUGCACUUACUUUGCUUUACAUUUAACGAACCUCUGUGAAAGGAAGUUGAGUGUAACUAUGGAGGGAACUCAGGCCAUGCUCAUUACCCUAUAUGCUUUUUCUUUCCCUUCUUUCACAUUUUGCAGAAAUUUAGUUGGCAGCCCAGACCUAGGAAAAAGAUGAAACCAUAUCAAGGAUUGUACUUGCAAAAUGAACAUGCAGCAGUUUGUACCUGGAUUUUUUUCCCUUUCUCAGUGCCCAAAUGAAGUAUCAGAUUGCAUCUGAUCCGCAAUUUACCCUUCCAUGCCCCAAAAUAACAAGGGCCACAUCCAGAGCAUGUAAUCUGAGCAGACCUCCAGGAGUCUUUCGUUUAGAUCUACAAAAGAUUUUAAUAAUUGAACAUGAGACUGCAGUGCCACUGUCUAAACAGCAUAUAUUGUGGAGAGCGUGGUCUCCUCUUUUCUCUUGUGUAGGAAUACAUGUUCCCUCCAUAGCUUUGCUUGUCUCUGUAAACAGUGCUCUGAGAAAUCACCCUUCUAACACCAAUAAAAUCUGUUAUUUAAUAUAUAUAUUUUUAAAGCAGAGCUAUUUCUGGGAGCUCUGUCCUGUGUAUAAUUCCAUGCUCAUUUCAAAUACCAUUGCUACAUUUCUUCCAUCAUCUUACUCUUCUAUUCUGGUUAAAAUUAAGAUUAAAAAUAAAACAACAACAACAUUCUGUACUGCCCAAAGUGUCUCAGACAAAUUGGCACAGCAUAACAGUCUUAAGCCUCAGUGGUCCAACCUUCAGAGCCCUUAAGACUUAUAACUUUCCAUUAGUCAACAGGACAACUCAUAUAGGUCCUAGUUCAAGUGGCCAGAGAAGUACACUCUGUGUACUAACAGCCUGAUUUGCAAAUGGCAGAUGAUCUGGUUCUUUGGAAUUUUCCGUGGUUUGAUCUUUGACGGACAAUAUUGGGUUCUUGAGGGAGCUACUGGCUCCCACCCUUGCAAUGCCAUGGGAUGGGUGCCCCACAGCAAAGCAGCAAUGCCCACAUCUGCUGGUCGGGUGUUCAGAUUGUUCCCAACCCUGACGAGAGCUAGCAUAAGCUGUCCACUAUGGGAACACCACUUCUUGCAAAGCUGGCUAUUUAUGCACUUGCAUCUUGGCUACUUAAAGUGAGUUUGACAAGUGAAAUGCAUUUACUAUAUAGCUGUGUAAUAAACGCUAAACUUUGUAAUUAGGGGUAUUUGCUUAUUCCAGAACAGAAAGAAGAGAAAAAUAGCUAUUGCUUUUAAUUUCCAGCAUCACUGACUCAAGCCCUACCAGUCCUGCCCUCAUUAAGAGAGUCCUUGCUGUCCCUUGGCAAGCAUGCUCUAAGGGUGAAGUGAACUCAAAGAUUUGUGGCUGGAAUGAGCUGGGAUGUUUGGAAAGAAAAUAACACAGUUGUUUUAUGUAAAGUAGUAGAGCUAAUGUAAGAAAAGUUGGGACGUUAUUGGGCCUAAGUCAGUCUGUUGAUAUUAAGUAGACUCCCAGACAAUGUAAAUCUCAACUUCUUGAGGAACAAAAAUGAAAACAAUUUGAACUUUAAUGAUUCAAUCAAGCGAGUUAAUCUUUGGGAGUUAAUUCUACUCCUGCUGAAACUGGUGGAAGUUCUGCCUUUGGGUACUUUGACUUUUAUCCAGGACCAGAUAUCCAGAUAAUAUGGACCUACAGUCCAUGUAUCAUGUACUGUGACAUAUAUGAGCUGUUAUGGAACUUUGUGUGUAUUUACAUGAUUUUUAGUAGCUUUUCUUUGGCUUCUGACAAAUUUUGAGUAAAUAAAUUUCACAAAACCAUUUCUGAAAAAACAGUCAAGACCUGAAUGAUAGAAUAUCCCAAGUAGGAAGGGAUCCAAAAGAAUCUAUUCCAACUCCUGGCUCCACACAGGACUACCUGAAAGUUAAACCAUAUGACUGAAAGCAUUGUCCAAAUGCUUCUUGAACUUCAGCAGGCUUGGGGCUGUGACCACUGAACUGGGGAGCCAGUUCCACUGCCUGAACUGGAACCAAAAAAAUCUGAAUCCCUUUAGUAUCAGGUGGCUUGUGGCCGAGUGUGCCUUCUCUCAUAAAUGAGGUCUGUCAAAAGAGAGACCUUGUCUACAUCCAGAUAAGCGUUCCAGAAAUCUGCCUUGGGAAGGGAUCUUUCAAAUCUAUCUCUGAAUACAAUUUAAAAUGGUUUGUCAAGCUCUUGUAUAAAUAGGCCAAUCUAUUAACAUGCUAUGUUUCAGGUGCAAGCAAUGAGCUCAUACUGAUAAAUUUACUUUUAAGCCUGAUACUGAAUUAUGCAAAGUUUCCUCUGAAGAUUCAAAAUAUCCUAAAAGUGGAUGCAAAUAUACUUUUUGUUCAUGUCUGCUCUUGCAUGGAGCAAAUAAAGGUAUGAGCAGAGAAGCUCAAGAAGUUCAGAUGGUAGUGUCAAAGACACUGGAAUGGGCUGCCCAGGGAGAUGGUUGAGUCACCAUCCCAGAAGUGUUCAAGAAACAUUUAGAUGUUGCACUGAGGGGCAUGGUUUAGUGGGGAAAUAUUGGUGAUAGAUGGAUGAUUGGACUGGAUGAUCUGGAGGUCUUUUCCAACCUUGGUGAUUCUGUGAUUCUAUGAUUUUAUAAGCUGUCUAUUCCAGUUGACCAUUCUCCAGGCUGGAGGCCACAUAACCCAGAGAAAACUUGGCAGAACCCAUUUUCACUGGCUUUUGAGCUGAGCUACAAGAGCUGAGUGGGAACAGAGGAUUGUGGCAGAUGUCAGCCCUCUCUGAAAUAGCAUCUGCUGUCUCUGGAUGAGCAGUACACCUGUGAAGGAGGUCCAGUUGUUUUCCUCUGUGUUGGUCUCAGUUCUAUAGUAAUUGCAUCCUCCUCUCCUGACCAGCUGCAUAUUUCUCCUGCCAUGUUUACACUGCACAAAAACUGGAGUGGCUGCCUGGGAAAUGACUCAAAGAAGUGAUGUGCAAGGAUCUUUGACAAAUGGAACAUUUCUUAAUCCCAUGUUGGGCUUUCACCCUGGUGAGUGAAACAGAAUUGGUCCUUGCUGCAACAACAUGGGUGCACAGUGGCUGAAGAUCACAGAACUACUCUGAGUUGUUGGUAAGGAUGUAGUCCCUUGAUUUACUCUCCUUAGCUCAGAAAAAUAUUUAUUUUCUGGUGUGCACUUGACUUCUAAUAUCACCAGCUGCCCUGUUGUACCAGCCUAUGAUGGGGCUGUGUAGUGUAAGCCUGAUUGGUGCCCUCUAAAUAGAAAGUGCUAAGCCCCCUUCACCUACUUACAUAGCUGGUGGUACCCAUCAAGUCUACCUUCAGCCUCAGGCCCAUUAAAAAGAUGUAUUAACACAGAAGGAAGCAGUAAAAUGUUUAAGGAACAGCUAGUUUAUUGAUAUAUUUUAUAGCUUGUCAAUCCACACUCUAUAAAGCCUUUCUGUGUGUUUGAGCAAUGAGGCCAAGGUCUUUCCUCAACGAGUUUCCUAGAAGUUGGCACACAUUUCAUUCCUGGAAGUGACUACAGGCCUGUUAUUGAUUUGUUCUUAUUGAUGGCUUUGGGAAAUUUUGGCAAAUAACAAGUGAGUGUAAAAAGGAGGGAAAUAAGUAGGUCUCAGCAGCACAUUGUUUUGCUUUCAUGCACCCAGUCACUGUGAGGGUCACAGAUUAAUGGGAAAAUUAUGUUGUUAAUUAUCUUUGGCUGCCAGCACAGCUCUAAGGCAAAACCAUAUCAAGUAUUGAUGAACAAAUGUGAGUUGUGCUUCUACUCUGUGCUGCUCUCAGAACUGGCCUGUGGUUCUGGGGUCUUCCAAGGUCACUGCUGACCACUUUGUGUGGGUCCUGAUGACAAACUUGCCCCCCCAGACUGUAUUUGCCACGACUUGGGUUUUGUGUCUACUCUCUUCUAAUUAGGGCUCCUCUGACACCACACUAUUUGGAAAGAGUUUAUUUGAAGAGACAUUCAGCUCAGUUUUGUUCUUAGUUUCAGUUCCUUACUCAGUCAGAAGAACUCCUAAAUCUCCUUCCAAGAUAUUCUUGAUCUUAAAAGUGCUAUAACCACACCUACAAUCCUUGCCUAUGACAGUUUAAUAAGUGCAUGUGUCAAGUGAACCAGCAAGUCCCUCCUUGGCCACUCCUGGAGGCAUGACCAUGUGAAGAGAUGAAUCUUCUGCCCAAGAGGUGAGCAGCUAUGGGGGAUUUGGAUGGUAGAAUCAUAGGUAGGUAGAAUAAUAUCAAUGCUCUACCUAAAUGCAUCUUCCCUCCUGAAGGGCAGAGACCAUAGGAAAUAUGUCCUUUGUUAUGCAAUUUCUUUUGUGUUUCCAAAGAGUCAGCCAGCUGGCACUCAACAAGUUACAGAAUCAAUGGGAAUUAUGAAGAAUUUUCUACUUGCCCUAGGCAGGAGGACAUGCACAUGGCAGAGCAAAGCUGGAGAUUCUCAGAGGAAGGAAGAUCCCUGGAAAUCUUCACCAUGAAACCAGAUUAUCUCUGUAAUGAAUUGCCAACUCUCAAAACCCAUUCAGGCUGGUUGGAAGCCCAGGGCAUGGAUCAGCCGUGAAGUACUGAGAGAACUGACUGUGGAUGAGAUUGGGAUGGACCUUGUCAUGAACACCCAAUUGCUCUCUGCCUAGAAGAGGACCUUAAAGAAGAGCAGAACAGCAUUUCAAUUAAAUAACAAUCUGUUUUUCCAAGGACUAAACACAUAAGAAGCUUCAACAAAAAAGGUGUUUUUGCCAGUAAUUGCUCAAGUGGCCUUAAGAUGAACUCGUUCCUUUUAGCUUUCUGACCACUUUGGACUAAAUAGCAGGUGUUUCUGCCAUAUAACAAGAGGAAAUCAAUAUUUUGCCAUAAACUCAUGCCCAAAAGGACUUCACAUCUCUGAGCUUCAUGACUGUACUCCUUAGGAAAGAACUAUGGACAACUCUGAAGGCAAUAUGAGAUGUCAGCUUUGGUCUACUCCUAACCAUCAAGCCUUUUCCAAAGAGGGAUGUUUCUUCUUGAUGGGUUGAUGGUUGGACUAGAUGAUCUCAGUGUCUUUCCAAUCCUAAUGAUUCUUUGAUUCUGCAUGUGAGCUAUUGAGGAAAGCAUGGAAUGACAACCUUUCAUAGGAAUUUGGAGCACAAAGGUUUGAUGCAGGAACACCGUUGGACAAGAUACAACUGUUGACAGGAGUUCUGACCAAGACCAUGAUGAACAGCAGAUCUAUGCGUUGGGGGUGAUCCGAGUAACUGUUCACACAUGUCAGAAUAUUUUAUUUCCAAAACUCUGAAAAAUUUAUUCAAGACAAAGACUGGCUUUGUCUGCCAUCUGAGGCUGUUUAGGCUGAACUGGAGAGAUUGAGAAACAGUAUCUUAAGAAGGAAGGAAGUUAUGUGGAACACAGAUGGGAAAAUUGUGUUUUAACCACUGAAAUUUUUAAGUCUAUACCAGUUACUUCUGUUUGUUUUAGCCUAUCUUUAUCCAAUGAAUAAACAACACUUGGAGGAAGGAAGUCUUCAGUAAGGAUUCAAACUCUUUUCAUUGCUCUGAAGAAUUUAGAGACUGCAAUAAAAACGCUUUUGACUCCAGAAGAUGUUUUUCAUCAAAGCUAAGGAAGGCCAAUUCUAACUCUCUGAAUCAAAUAAAGACAAACAUAAUAAAAUCACCAAACACAAAGCUUUCAUGCCAUGUUUCUGCAUCAGAAAUAUGUUUUCUGGGUACAAAAUGAAAACUCAGAUCCUUUCCCAAAAAGAAGGAAAAUCUUCCAUGUCUCUGUUGAGGUGAAUAUUAGUACAUUUGUCUAGAACUGACUGAAAUGCUUUCUGAUGACUAUUUUUUUUUCCAUCAAUAGAUGCUGAUUUAUUGAAAACUGAGCCUUUCCACUGGAAUAUAACAAUUUCAAUGAAACUUUAGUUGAGAAAAGUUUCUGAGGUCCCACAGUGAAUUUGUGGUCAAAAUUGGAGAGGAAGGGAGUUUGUAUGCAACUGUAUUUGAGUAUGAAGAAUAUGGAAAUCCCAUAGGAGAGGGAAGUACAAAUCUCUGCUUCAGUAAACACUGGCUUUUGCAAAAUGCAGCAAUUCAACACAGAUAUGACCCAGCAAUGCAUCCUUGUACUAACCACAUACUGGACUCUAUUAGCAAGGAUGUAGCCAGCAGGUCAAGGCAACUGAUUAUUCACCUCUAUUCUGAGCUUGAGAGGCUGAUGCUGGAGUACUGUAUCAAGUUUUGGGAUCUUCCAGAACAGAUGGCACCAGUAAACUGGUGCAGAGGCCAACAAGAUGUUUGUGAGGCUGGAGCCUGCAUGUGGAGCUGCUGAGGGAGCUGGGAUGGCUUCAAAGAUGUGAUGAAAGGAGGAUUUAACCACUCACUUCCCCUGCCUAAAAAGGACUUAGAAAAAGAUGGAGCCAAACUCUUCUCAAAGGUGCAAGAGGCAACAUGCCCAAAUAUCAUCAAUAGAUUUUCCAACUAGAAAUGCUGGAAACAUUUCCUCUGAGAGUGGCUGAGCUCUGAGAUAGAUUUCCAGACAGCCUGCAGAAUCUCCAGGCUUAGGAUCUUCAACGUUUGACCAGACAAGGCUCUGAGUAACCUGCACAGCACAGCCUUUGAGCAGGAUCAUUUGGAACGGCAGAGGGAGUGCAAGAGCAAGGAAAAAGAAGUGAACACACUGAACUUGAGAUUAGUCCCCCAGGUGAACACAAAUCUGCACGGAACAAAAGCCAAGCUGCUGCCCUUCAUGCAUGGAGAUGGAUUCAACAGUAUGGUCAGUGGGCAAACACUCCUUAUGCUGCUUGUGUUCAGCUGGCAUCAGGUAACCAGAAGGCUUCGGUGAGCUGAAAAUUAUCUGGGUUAGCCCCCUGUACUGGUGUCCUGGAGAAAGUCCUGAAGAUGCUGCUUCAUGCUGCAUUUGAAAAACAGUGCACAGAUCAAAUAGCAGCCACAGGUGACAUGUCAGAACAUCUCCUUCUCUUUCACUUUCAACCCUUGGGCUGGAAACACAGCUACUUCCAGCUCUGAGGCAGGAGGGCAGGAAAUCCUGGCUAUCCUUUCAUCUCCUGCUAGAGAUCCCGUGGCUGGAGGAUGCCACAGGAGGGGCCUUAAUCCCAGAUUCUGGCACACCACAAGUUGUCUCUGUCCUGUAUUUUUGUCCCACUCAAUGAGCACGCUCUGACUCAGGCUAUGUCCUACUGACAGGUGUCGUGCAAACCAUGUUGUUCCCCUCCCCACCUCAGUCAGACCAGUGAGUUUCUUCUGUAGGAUCUGCAGGGUCUUGGGCUGUACUGUUUUGAAGCAGACUGUGAUCCUCACUGUUUUACUUCCCAGACAUCUCAGCCUUCCUGACCCUGAGAGUACUGACCACCUAAUUUCCAGGAGUGGGGUGGGAAACUUUGUUCAAACAAUAGGACCCAGAGCAGGGGGUGAAGGGCAGCAGCAGUGAAUGACCAUCAUACUAUCAUUGCAUCAUAGAAUCAUUAAGGUUGGAAAACACCACUAAGACCAUGUAGUCCAACUGCUGACCCACCCCCACCAUGCCCACUAAACCAUCUACAUGUUUCUUAAACACCUCCAGGAAUGGUGACUCCAUCAUCUCCCUGGGCAGCCUGUUUCAAUACCUCACCACACUUUUUGAGAAGAAAUGCUUCCUAAUAUCCAACCUGAACGUACCCUGGCACAACUUGAGGCCAUUACCUCUCAUUCUGUCACUAGUUACCUGGGAGAAGAGGCCAACCUCCACCAUCUGUUGUAGAGGGAAGACUCAGCAUCCUCUCUCUAGUAAGCUCUAGAUCCACAUACAUUAUCUAAAUAAGCAGUGUCUAGGAGCAGACUUUAGCUCUGGAAUUUGACUAUCCACCCUGGUAAAUUCUUAGGGCGUGUCCUGAAUAGUUCUGGACUGGGGCACACAGCACAGUCUCCUGGCAUAGACUGGGAUUUAGCAAGAGCUGUAGCUCAGAUGUUCCCUCCUUAUUUCGGAAAAAAGUGAGUUCUGUGGUGUGAACAAGGAUGGUAAAGCAUCCUUUCCUGGGAUAGGGAAGGAUAUGUUAGAACCCCUUUUUCUUGGGUAGAAAAUAGGAAAAAUCUUGCAGAAGAAAGCCAGUGCCUGCUGGAGGACUAGAUUAGGCACAAGAAGAUCCAUGCACAGCUGACGGCUUUCUCCAAAUCUGAAUACUGUGUGUUUCGAAUAGCAGAUGAGAAGGACUGACAUCCCUGGGGAAUGGCGUACAGCCUUAGCAUCACCUCCAUCCAGGAGUGGACAAAUCAUCUCUUCUUUCCAGUGAAGAGCGGCCACAUGUGAAUUGCUGGAAGUAAACCAGAGGAAGAACAAUUCUCAGUGAGCUCCUCAGCAUCCUCCUCCAACCAUCAUUCCAUCACUGCACUGUUGGUCUGAGAGGACAUCAGCUCGUCUCCUACAAAGGAUCUGGACAACAGUUCUUUGGCUACAUCUUUCCUAAUAAAUUAAACAGUGCUAGGAGUUGCCUGGGUGGAGAAUGGGUUGUUCAGGUGUUAAAAGUUGCAGAAUUGCAGAAUCAUAAGGGUUGCAAAGGAACUCUGGAGAUCAUCUAGUCCAAGCCCUCUUGACUCAGCAACUCCAUACCCUUCCAAGCACAUUUCCAAAAAGUGCACAGGCUUGACAGAGUUCCCAAUGGCCAAAGGGAGAUAUUAACAGUAUGGACAUAAGUUAUUUUGCAUUAGUAGGUCCAAUGACAGAGUCCAGCUAUUCCAGACAUGCUUGAUUUACUCAGCACACAUACCUUGGAGACACAGCUUGGCCUUCAGCAGCGACUGUGUGAUCCACAGACUGGGCACCUAGUUCUCUGUUGAGUAUGUCCUGGUAUCUUUAUGUAUUUCCAGGUGGGCAAGUGGACACCCAAUGGGAUGUAGCCCACCAAGCUCAUGUUUCAGAUCUUGAACUCUUUGAAAGAAAUCACCAUUCCUCAUUUCUCAUCUGAAACACCAGCUAGCCUACAGGCUGAGGCAGGCCUAAGUUUUGCUUAAUUAAAGGCAUCAGCAUAGCUUACUUGCAACUGCUCUACCACCCUCACUUGAGGAUGAAGUUGUCUUGUGGAAAAGUGACCGUGCCAGCCACCUGCUGAGGUAAUCUGCAUAUUCACUCACAAAAGGGACUUCUGAGUUUCUCAGCAAUCUUUCUUCCACUGUUAGAUAUGAGAAAAUCAACCGGUUGCCUUGCAGCAAGAUAGGUACCCCCAAAAUUCAAAUAAAAAAAGAUACGAACCCUCCAAGCUCUGAGUCCAGAUUGAAAGUCUUUCAUACAGAUCACAUAGAAAUCAAUAUUGCCACACACAGACACAAAAAAGGUAAAAACGUGUAAAAUCACCUUGUCAGUUACUAUUUCACCACUUAAGAGAGAACAAGGUGAUGAAGAACAUUGUGCUAACUAGCAAUAUGACUUAAUGACACUUAUUUUGGCAAUGACAUGGACAUGCUAUCUUUGUAAUCCAAAAAAUCCAAGGUCCUCAAAUUCAUAAAACUGCAUGAGUUUACAGUUUAGUGCCACCUAGGCGAAGGAGAUUUAAGCACUGUCAAGUGAGACCCUUGGCCUAUAAGUG
This is a long non-coding RNA of Numida meleagris (helmeted guineafowl), 10043 nucleotides long. RefSeq lists it as uncharacterized. Lineage: Eukaryota; Metazoa; Chordata; Aves; Galliformes; Numididae. The transcript has 5 exons. The record is from RefSeq and is a predicted model, not a curated record.